UGGCUCAGUUGGUAGAGCAUGUGACUCUUGAUCUCGAGGCUGUGGGUUCAAGCCCCAU
Molecule: transfer RNA, 58 nt
Filed under: Ailuropoda melanoleuca (giant panda)
Lineage: Eukaryota; Metazoa; Chordata; Mammalia; Carnivora; Ursidae
Rfam family: tRNA
About the family: Transfer RNA (tRNA) molecules are approximately 80 nucleotides in length.
Source: Rfam by way of RNAcentral